Molecule: ribosomal RNA, 1475 nt
Filed under: Ureaplasma cati
Lineage: Bacteria; Bacillati; Mycoplasmatota; Mycoplasmoidales; Mycoplasmoidaceae
Description: 16S ribosomal RNA
Rfam family: Bacterial small subunit ribosomal RNA
Source: RNAcentral
GAGUUUGAUCCUGGCUCAGGAUUAACGCUGGCGGCAUGCCUAAUACAUCCAAAUCGAACGAAGCCUUUUAGGCUUAGUGGUGAACGGGUGAGUAACACGUAUCCAAUCUACCCUUAAGUUAGGGAUAACUAGUCGAAAGAUUAGCUAAUACCCAAUAAUAACAUUUGAUUGCAUGAUUGAAUGUAGAAAGUCGCGUUUGCGACGCUUUUGGAUGAGGGUGCGACGUAUCAGAUAGUUGGUGAGGUAAUGGCUCACCAAGUCAAUGACGCGUAGCUGUACUGAGAGGUAGAACAGCCACAAUGGGACUGAGACACGGCCCAUACUCCUACGGGAGGCAGCAGUAGGGAAUUUUUCACAAUGGGCGAAAGCCUUAUGAAGCAAUGCCGCGUGAACGAUGAAGGUCUUAUAGAUUGUAAAGUUCUUUUAUUUGGGAAGAAAUGUUAAGAUAGGAAAUGAUUUUAACUUGACUGUACCAUUUGAAUAAGUAUCGGCUAACUAUGUGCCAGCAGCCGCGGUAAUACAUAGGAUGCAAGCGUUAUCCGGAUUUACUGGGCGUAAAACGAGCGCAGGCGGGUCUACAAGUUUGGUAUUAAAUCUAGAUGCUCAACGUCUAGCUGUAUCAAAAACUGUAAACCUAGAGUGUAGUAGGGAGUUGGGGAACUCCAUGUGGAGCGGUAAAAUGCGUAGAUAUAUGGAAGAACACCGGUGGCGAAGGCGCCAACUUAGACUAUCCACUGACGCUUAGGCUCGAAAAGUGUGGGGAGCAAAUAGGAUUAGAUACCCUAGUAGUCCACACCGUAAACGAUGAUCAUUAAAUGUCGGCCCGGAAUGGGUCGGUGUUGUAGCUAACGCAUUAAAUGAUCUGCCUGGGUAGUACAUUCCCAAGAAUGAAACUCAAACGGCAUUGACGGGGAGCCGCACAAGUGGUGGAGCAUGUUGCUUAAUUUGACAAUACACGUAGAACCGUACCUAGGUUUGACAUCUAUUGCAAUGUUAUAGAAAUAUAACGGAGGUUAACAAUAUGACAGGUGGUGCAUGGUUGUCGUCAGCUCGUGUCGUGAGAUGUUGGGUUAAGUCCCGCAACGAGCGCAACCCCUUUCGUUAGUUAAUUUUACCAUCGAUACUGCUCUGCAAAGUAGAGGAAGGUGGGGAUGACGUCAAAUCAUCAUGCCCCUUAUAUCUAGGGCUGCAAACGUGCUACAAUGGUUAAUACAAAGUGUCGCUACUUCGUAAGAAGAUGCCAAUCACAUAAAGUUAGUCUCAGUUCGGAUUGAGGGCUGCAAUUCGCCCUCAUGAAGUUGGAAUCACUAGUAAUCGCGAAUCAGACAUGUCGCGGGGAUUACGUCCUCGGGUCUUGUACACACCGCCCGCCAAACUAUGGGAGCUGGUAAUAUCUAAAACCGUAUUGUUAACCGUAAGGAGGGGUACGUAUAGGGUAGGAUUGGGGAUUGGGGUAAAGUCGUAACAAGGUAUCC